AAUCGAAGGUCAUGGAGAUCAUUACGUGUCAUGCAAUGGUGAAGAGGUUGGGUGAGAACGACACGUGUUGCACCAUUAUCGAGCAGGUAAAAUAGCCGCAAGGCUUAGGGGUGAGGGUGAGAAAAAUAUCGUAGAAAACGAGAGAGAAAAUGCCAUAGAAAUCAGUCGAGUGAGGAUCUCCGACACGGCAACAACUACUUUCUUCGUCGUAAUAUCAGUUCGCAAUCAUGGUUGAUAAUGGCGUUGGGUUGCUGUUGGGUGUUGUAUCGUUUAUGCCGAGCACGAGAGCGAUAAGGCGAUAGAAAUCCAUCGGGUGAGCAUCUCCGACACGUCAACUGCAUUCUUGGUGUUAUUUCCAGUAUUCAAUCACGGUAAACUAUGCCGUCGUGCUGCGCUACACACUACAACUGAUGCUGCUUCGAGCUACUAUACCGAAGUAUUAUUCUUCCUCGAGCUUCGCUACUAAAGCGCACGGGUGCUACACCAGCGAGUCUCCCGAGUACUACUCUGCUCCCAGCUACUAAACUGAGUCAAAAGUAACGGACUGAAGAUGCUAAAAGUUUUUGCUGAGGACGGUAGUAGGUCGAGUCCUCCCUAAAUACUUGAGCGAAUGGACAACCGAGAAGUUGAAUGCGGAAAGUGUUGAUGUGUUGCCCAAAGCUAAUGUUGAGGGUGCAAGCUUGGAAGACAACAAGGUCCCAUUGACCUUAAAACAAUGGUCGAAAGGUUUAAACUGACCAUGUUGUCGUUGCUGUCGGUUUGAACGCAAACACGGAUUUGGCUGUCGCUUUUGGUUUGGAAAUUGAUUCGAAUUUUGGUAGUUGUCGAGUCAAUGCCGAGUUUGAAGCAGAUCAAACGUCUGGUUGCCAAAGAUGCUGCCUGCUUUCAUGAUAUCAAAUUGGAUCGUCGUCGUGUGGAACAUCAUGACCACGCUGUUGUAUCAGAGCGAUUGGCUAGAGAGCAUAUGAUUGGCAAUGCAUGCAUGCAACAUGGGUGAAGGACUGCAGCGCAAUAUUUGUCACUAUCUGCAUUCUUCGUCGUAUUUUCAGUACGCAAUCAUGGUUAACUAUGGCGUCUUGCUGCUGUAUGUUGUAUCGUUGAUGGCUGGGUCAGCCAUUGGUGUACCGAUGUCUCCUGGGUAUUGCAGAUACCAAGCCGCAACGCCGCCGCCUUACUGCACAACAACACACGCAACAACCGGUUACCACACCACCAAGGCUGCAGAAUAUUAUACCACAACUUAUGAUGCCCCGAGCUACUACAUUGAAGCCCUGAAGUAUAACUCUGCCCCGAGUUGCCUCAACAAAGAGGCUGAGUACUACACCGAGGUUUCCAAGUACUACACCAU
This 1348-nucleotide long non-coding RNA is filed under the name Daphnia pulicaria. RNAcentral's name for it is "uncharacterized LOC124326677, transcript variant X1". Lineage: Eukaryota; Metazoa; Arthropoda; Branchiopoda; Diplostraca; Daphniidae. The record is from RNAcentral.